Molecule: non-coding RNA, 5192 nt
Organism: Rattus norvegicus (Norway rat)
Lineage: Eukaryota; Metazoa; Chordata; Mammalia; Rodentia; Muridae
Source: RefSeq, a predicted model, not a curated record
UGAGAAACUAAUAAGUAGGGGCUGGAGAGAUGGCUCAGCAGUUUGGAGCACUGACUGCUCUUCCACAGGUCCUGAGUUCAAAUCCCAGCACCCACAUGGUGGCUCACAACCAUCUGUAACGGGAUUUGAUGCCCUCUUUGAUGUGUCUGAAGACAGCUACAGUGUGCUUAUAUAUAAUAAAUAAAUAAAUCUUUUUUAAAAAAGAGAGAAACUAAUAAUUAGCAUUGUUAUUAUCACUGUUUAAGAUUAAUAUGUAUUAUUACUAACGAAAUGUAUCAUCAUUAUUUUAUCGGGGGCUUGCUUACAGUUUCAGAAGUUCAGCCCUUUAUCAACAUGGCAGGGAAUACCUUGCAAAGCUGUAGCCUGGGCCUGGCAUGGGCUUUUUAAAACCUCAAAGUCCGGGCUGGAGAGAUGGCUCAGCGGUUAAGAGCACCCGACUGCUCUUCCAGAGGUCCUGAGUUCAAUUCCCAGCAACCACAUGGUGGCUCACAACCAUCUGUAAAGAGAUCCGAUGCCCUCUUCUGGUGUAUCUGAAGACAGCUACAGUGUACUUAUAUCUAAUAAAUGAAUAAAUCUUAAAAAAAAAAAAAAAGCAUUAAAAAAAAAAAAAAACCUCAAAGUCCACAAGAACACACUUCAUAAUCACUAAGCAUUUAAAUUAUGAGCCUAUGGGGGCUGUACCACAUACCAUAUCAACAUUGAUAUUUUUUAAAUUAUUUAUUUUAUGUGUAUGAGUACACUAGCUGCUUUCAGAUACACCAGAAGAGAGUGUUGGGUCCCAUUACAGAUGAUUGUGAGCCAUCAUGUGGUUGCUGGGAGUUGAACUCAGGACUUGUGAAAGAGCAGUCAGUGCUCUUAACCACUGAGCCAUCUCUACCCCACCAUUAUUAUUUUUAAAGUGUUUUUUUGGUUGGUUGAUUGGUGAUUGAUUGGUUGCUUGGUUGCUUGGUUGGUUUGGUUUUUCAAGACGUGUUUUCUCUGUGUAGUCCUGACUGUCCUGGAACUUUGUUCUAUAGACGAGGCUGGCCUCAAACUCAAGAGAUCCUUCUACCUCUGCCUCCUGAGUGCUGGGAUUAAAGGUGUGCAAUACCACUACUCAACUAAAGUAUAUUUAGAUUAUUUGUUGGCGUGUACAUGCGUGUGUGUGUGUGUGUGUGUGUGUGUGUUUCUGUGUCUAUGUGUGUGUCUGUGUGUCUGUGUCUGUGUGUGUCUGUGUGUGUGCCUGUGUGUGUGUGUGUGUGUCUGUGUGCAUGUGUCUGUGUGUGUGUGUGUGUGUGUGUGUAUGUCUGUAUGUGUGUGUGUGUGUGUGUGAUGGGUUGGGGGAGGAGCGAAUGUAGCACGUGUGUGGAGAUCAGACGCCAUCUUUCAGGAACUGGCUCUUCCUGUCCACUAUGGUAUUCAAAGCCCCAAGUCAGAUGAUCAUCUGGUCUCUACACUCAGUGCUUUUACCCAUCUCAGAAGGCCAAGUUCUUGUAUUAUUUAUUCAUCUUAUCUUUCUACGUUUUAAAAGUAUAUUCCAGCAUUUUAAAUGUGAUAACUCACCUACAAAUCCACUUUUCUGACACCUAAAGUAAAGUAAUAUAAAUCUUGAAUAUAAUGGGGAAGGGUGGUACUUUGCAAAUAUCAAGUCAAUUCAAUUUCAACAUCUGAAGUCAGGCUCUUCUCUGCAGGAUAGACCUAAGAAGAAUUUCUCCAAUCGGAAGAUAUUAAAAUAGGCUUUCAAGGGGUAAAAAAAAUAACUUGCUGGAUUGCCUUCAUUGCAUCUAAUCUACUUAGUUGUGCAAAUUUUACCCAGAGUUCUCUCACACUCCAGAGAACACACUUCUUCCAUUUAGAACAACUAAACCAUGAGGGUGUGACACAGCCUGGCAUUUAACAACAGGGUAAAAGGAAGAAGAAGAAAGGGGCAUGGUCAUCCAUCAGGAGGCCCAAGCACAGUCUCCCCACUCGAACUCUUCAAUAUAGAAAGGCUUCUUUCGGGGUUGGGGAUUUAGCUCAGUGGUAGAGCGCUUGCCUAGCAAGCGCAAGGCCCUGGGUUCGGUCCCCAGCUCUGGAAAAAAAAAAAAAGGCUUCCUUCUUGCUCUGAGAAACAGACACCUUGCAGACUCGGGCUGCAUGACAAACACUGGCCACACAUGUGAAAGUGAUGUCAACGUGUACACAAGAAAAGAGAAGGCUCGCAUCCAGCUCAGAGAUUCACUCAAGCCAGAUAAACCCAGGUUUGAUACACAAGAAUUAUAUUCACAUCAUUACUGGAAGAACCCUGCAAAAAAAAAAUGGUCCUUUAAUCCUAGAUCAUACAGAAUCUAUCCAGAAGUUCCUACAGAUCCUAGAGAAGACUCAGGAAGCCAAGAAUGUCAUGGUUUGAAUAUGGUUGGCCCAGAGAGUGGCACUAUUAGAAGUGUGGCCUUGUUGGAAGAAGUGUGUCACUGUUGGGAUGGGCUUGGAGACCCUCCUCCUAGCUGCCUGAAGAUGCCCAGUCUGUUCCUGGCUUCCUUCAGAUGAAGAUGUAGAACUCUCAGCUCCUCCUGCAUCAUGCCUGCCUGGACGCUGCCAUGCUCCCCUCCUUGAUGAUACCAGACUGAACCUCUGAACCUGAAAGCCAGCCCCAAGUAAAUGUUGUCCUUUAUAAAACUUGAAUUAGUUAUGGUGUCUGUUCACAGCAAUAAAACCCUAACUAAGACACAAGAAUCAUGGCUGGGGGUGGCUGGAGAGAUGGCUCAGCGGUUAAGAGCACUGACUGUUCUUCCAGAGGUCCUGAGUUCAAUUCCCAGCAACCACAUGGUGGCUCACAACCAUCUGUAACAGAAUCUGAUGCCCUCUUCUGGUGUGUCUGAAGACAGCUACAGUGUACUUAUAUAUAAUAAUUAAAUCUUUAAAAAAAAAAAAAAAGAAUCAUGGCUGGCAAGUUGAAGGGCAGCCAGUCAGUGGCUCUGUAAAUCACAUAGAUCUAAGACAAAGUAACAGACCUCAGAAAGUGUUGUUUGCCUAGGCUCUGCAAAGACUCCUCAGGGCCAGGAUAGGAGAUGUACUACUCACUACUGACCAGCAGGUUGCUGAACAUCAGAAGAAGAAAGGAAAUUGGAACCCAAGAUCUCAGGUUUUUCCACCUGCAAUGCCUCCCUCUAAACGGAGAUACCAUUUUUAAAAUAGGGCAUUUACAUGGGCCAGACUUCUAGCCAUUUCACUGAACUAUGUUCUAAUGGGAACUGACAGGUACAUAGAUGAGGUACACUCCAGAGACCCCUAAGAAGAUAAACAAUACUGAGAUACAAAGAGGAGGGAAGUUACUUCAGAUAAGCUAGUCAGAGACUGUGUUUCUUGGGGUGAAUUUGUCACCCAUUACUUAAAUAAUGACCAAGAGCCUACUGUACCAAGUACCUGAUAGAAAGCAUUCCAAACAAAGGGAACAGCAAGAAUAAAACCUGACAGACCCAGACGAUGGCAACACUCCAGAGGCAGCGGUAGUGAGUUCAAGGCCAGCCUGGUCGCCAUAGAAAGUUCUAGGCCAGCCAGGCCUACAAAGUGAGACCUUCUCUUAGAAAAGAGAGGGAAGGGGUUGGGGAUUUAGCUCAGUAGUAGAGCGCUUGCCUAGGAAGCACAAGGCCCUGGGUUCAGUCCCCAGCUCCAAAAAAAAGAACCAAAAAAAAAAAAAAAAAAAAAAGAAAAGAGUGGGAAAAAAAGAAGCCUUUCCACAGAAAGGAACCUGAAGUGUUCGGGGACAGCCAGCGUCCCUAGAACCUAGCAGUCCUCAGUCCCAGGAACAGAACAUGAAGUCAGAAGGAAAGGCAACAGACGAAAGACUGACUUUUUUUUUUGAGACAGUUUUAUAUAUACCAAACUGGUCUUUACUUUGCCAUGUGGCUAAGGGUGACCUUGGAUUUCUGAUCCUCCCAGCCUUCACCCUUCCGAGCACAGAAUUCACAGAACAGAAAUACAAUCCAUGGGCAUGGACCGCUGAUUCAUAAAGUUUCACUGUAAGAACAGAGGGACGGACGACCGUGGUGCUGCAUGCCUUUAACCCCAGUCCUCAGGACACCGGCAGGCGGGAAGACCCACCUGAAAUCUGGGCCGCAACUUCUCAUGGCCACCUACGUGCAGGACAAGGAAGAAGGAAGCAUUUGUUCUCUGCCUGCUUGCCCUCCCUCUGACUGGCCCAUUCCUUCAGUGACACUGGAGCCUACCUCUUCAGGAUUCUGACAUACACUGAAGACCAGCUAAGACACCCAGCCUUCUGGGCUGAACGACUACUGGAUUCUUGACCUUUCGAUUGGUAGACAGCCAUCGUUGGACUAGCUAGACCACAACCAGACUGGACCUUUACAUUUGAGGCCUUACUGAGUGAGUUCCAGGGGAGCCAGGGAUACACAGAGAAACCACUUCUCAAAGGGGAAAAAAAGUGACUGUCAUUAUGCUUCUAUGGGUCUUGUUUUUCAAGUCCUAGUGAGUAAAACAAAAACUUAGUGCUUAGGGUUGGGGAUUUAGCUCAGUGGUAGAGUGCUUGCCUAGCAAGUACAAGGCCCUGGGUUCAGUCCCCAGCUCCCAAAAAAAGAAAAAAAAAUGACUUUCAUCCUACAAAAACUUAGUGCUUAUAUGUUAAAGAUAGAAACAUUUAGCUCCAGUAAGUUAAGGUCGUUUAGAUAUGGCCUGGCCAAGUGACCGUAAAUGGUUACAAGCCCAGUCAAUAAUCGUGAGAUCUUUUUAUAUUCUAAAAUAGUGACAAUGACCACACCAACCACUGAUUUCAGUGGAACAGAAAUCCUUUUUUUUUCAAAAUUAAGGUUUUCAUGGGGGUGGAGAGAAGGUUCAGUGUGUAAGGAGAGCACCAGCUGCUUUUCCAGAGGACAAGAGUUUAGUCCUAGCACCCGCACUAUGACUUACAACUCCAGUUCCAUAGGAUCUGAUGCCCCCUUCUGGCCUCCUUGGUUACCACAUGAACCUGAGGCACAGGUCUACAUGAAGGCAAACCACUGCAUAAAAGCAUACGAAUAAAGUAAAAUGGGCUGGAGAGAUGGCUUAAGAGCACUGGCUGUUCUUCCAGAGGUCCUGAGUUCAAUUCCCAGCAACACAUGGUGGCUCACAACCAUCGGUAAUGGGAUCAGAAUGCCCUUUUCUGGUGUUUCUGAAUACAGAUACAGUGUACCCACAUACAUAAAAUAAGUAAAUAAAUCUUUAAAUAAAAUAAAGCCAAA